Molecule: ribosomal RNA, 434 nt
Filed under: uncultured Ruminococcus sp.
Lineage: Bacteria; Bacillati; Bacillota; Clostridia; Eubacteriales; Oscillospiraceae
Description: partial 16S ribosomal RNA
Rfam family: Bacterial small subunit ribosomal RNA
Source: RNAcentral
ACGGAAGGCAGCAGUGGGGAAUAUUGGGCAAUGGGCGAAAGCCUGACCCAGCAACGCCGCGUGAAGGAAGAAGGUUUUCGGAUUGUAAACUCCUGUCUUAAAGGACGAUAAUGACGGUACUUUAGGAGGAAGCUCCGGCUAACUACGUGCCAGCAGCCGCGGUAAUACGUAGGGAGCGAGCGUUGUCCGGAAUUACUGGGUGUAAAGGGAGCGUAGGCGGGAUUGCAAGUCAGAUGUGAAAACUAUGGGCUCAACCCAUAGACUGCAUUUGAAACUGUAGUUCUUGAGUGAAGUAGAGGUAAGCGGAAUUCCUGGUGUAGCGGUGAAAUGCGUAGAUAUCAGGAGGAACACCGGUGGCGAAGGCGGCUUACUGGGCUUUUACUGACGCUGAGGCUCGAAAGCGUGGGGAGCAAACAGGAUUAGAUACCCUGGUA